AGAAUCAACGCUGGCGGCGUGCCUCAGACAUGCAAGUCGAACGAUUAAACUUUCCUUCGGGAAAGAUAUAAAGUGGCGCACGGGUGAGUAACGCGUAAGUAAUCUGCCUUUGAGUGGGGAAUAACCCGGGGGAAACCCGAGCUAAUACCGCAUAAUGCAGCGGCAUCGCAAGAUGACAGUUGUUAAAGGAGCAAUCCGCUUAAAGAGGAGCUUGCGGCAGAUUAGCUAGUUGGUAAGGUAAUGGCUUACCAAGGCUACGAUCUGUAACCGGUCUAAGAGGACGGUCGGUCACACUGACACUGAAUAACGGGUCAGACUCCUACGGGAGCAGCAGUCGGGAAUUUGGGCAAUGGGCGAAAGGCCUAGACCCAGCAACGCCGUGUAGAAGAUGAAGUAUUUCGGUAUGUAAACUUCGAAAGAAUGGGAAGAAUAAAUGAACGGUACCUAAUUUAAGUAAGGUCCGUACUUAAACUACGUGCCAAGCAGCCGAC
RNAcentral lists this ribosomal RNA (491 nucleotides) under uncultured soil bacterium. Its description in RNAcentral is "bacterial SSU rRNA". It matches the Rfam family "Bacterial small subunit ribosomal RNA", at positions 26 to 518 of the family's 1533-position model. The record is from RNAcentral.